This 368-nucleotide transfer-messenger RNA is filed under the name Anaerovoracaceae. RNAcentral's name for it is "Fimisoma avicola Standard tmRNA". It matches the Rfam family "transfer-messenger RNA". Rfam says of the family: Bacterial tmRNA, also known as 10Sa RNA or SsrA, is named for its dual tRNA and mRNA-like properties. Its role is to liberate the mRNA from a stalled ribosome. RNAcentral also lists the same sequence under 1 other name. The record is from RNAcentral. Lineage: Bacteria; Bacillati; Bacillota; Clostridia; Peptostreptococcales.
GGGGGUGUAAAGGUUUCGACUGGGGUGUAGAAGCGGGAUAAGCGAGCGGUAGUUCGCCAGUCUACCUAAAAAAGGCGCGUUAAAUAUAAACGCUAAAAAGAAUAAUAAUUUCGCACCUAUGGCUCUGGCUGCUUAGUCAGAAGCUGUGCGUGCCUGCUCCGGCUCACCUGUAGGCCGGAUGUCCGGCAUCGACUAUACAGGAAAACUCUGUGCGAGUGCCCGGUAACACAGGGGAAUAACGGGAUAGCUGAGGCAAGAGCCUGUUAAUGGGCGCUGGCCGAGGCGAAAUAUCAAAACAUUAACUGCGCUCGGAGAAAAUUCCGUGGAAAUGCUUUAGGACGCGAGUUCGACUCUCGCCACUUCCACCA